GAUGAAGAACGUAGCGAAAUGCGAUAAGUAAUGUGAAUUGCAGAAUUCAGUGAAUCAUCGAAUCUUUGAACGCACAUUGCGCCCGCCAGUAUUCUGGCGGGCAUGCCUGUUCGAGCGUCAUUUCAACCAUCAAGCCCUGUGCUUGUGUUGGGGGCCUGCGGCUGCCGCAGCCCCCUAAAAGCAGUGGCGGGCUCGCUGUCAUUCCGAGCGCAGUAACUUAUCUCGCUUUGGUCGUGGCGGUGGGCACCUGCCGUAAAACACUCUUUUUCACAAGGUUGACCUCGGAUCAGGUAGGAAUACCCGUUGAACUUAAGCAUAUCAAUAAGCGGAGGA
This 333-nucleotide unclassified non-coding RNA is filed under the name soil metagenome. RNAcentral's name for it is "partial contains 5.8S ribosomal RNA, internal transcribed spacer 2, and large subunit ribosomal RNA". The stretch from base 1 to 120 matches the Rfam family "5.8S ribosomal RNA", at positions 35 to 154 of the family's 154-position model. The record is from RNAcentral.